Molecule: non-coding RNA, 399 nt
Organism: Pteronotus mesoamericanus
Lineage: Eukaryota; Metazoa; Chordata; Mammalia; Chiroptera; Mormoopidae
Source: the annotation of a RefSeq genome assembly
AUGGCCUGGACUCCUCUCCUGCUCGUGCUCCUCUCUCAUUGCACAGGUUCCCUCUCGCAGCCUGUGCUGACCCAGCCGCCCUCCGUCUCUGCAUCUCUGGGAGCAACAGCCAGACUCACCUGCACCCUCAGCAGCGGCUCUGUUGUUGAGGGCUACCAUAUAUACUGGUACCAGCAGAAGCCAGGGAGCCCUCCCCGGUUUCUCCUGAGAUUUAAAUCAGACUCAGACAAGUACCAGGGCUCCGGGGUCCCCAGCCGCUUCUCUGGCUCCAAAGACGCCUCGGCCAAUGCAGGGCUCCUGACCAUCUCUGGGCUGGAGCCUGAGGACGAGGCCGAUUAUUACUGUGCUACAUGGCAUGGGAGUGGGAGCAACUACCGUUACUCACAGUGGUUCAGAUGA